UAAUUUUUAAUCAAGGAAGAUAAUUGUAAAAACUCGAAAAUUAUGCAGAAAGAAUUUCGAUAUCCUUCUAAUUGUAAAAGAAAUUGCUUCUUGGAGGAAGACGAUUGGUGAAAUUCGAAAGCACAAUAAACGAAGGGAGUUACGAUAGUCUUUGAUGAUUCUAUAAAAUUAUAGAGUAAGUUUUAAAUUAUAUUUCCGAGCAUUCAGUGCGAGAUUGUAAAUUGAAAAUAAUUACGAAAUUACUUUUAUUAUUUUGUAAGAAAGUACGGCGUGCGGGAUGAUACCGAUGACAAAUGUUCGAGAGUGGAAUGUGAUUGUUAAGACUACUACCUGCUCAUCAAUACAUAUAUGUAUAAAUACGUAUUUUCCGCACGCUGUUCAAUCGAAUCAAAAUUAAUGAUAAAGUCAACAUCUAUCGAUAUGUAACUUUUAAUUAAUAAUUUUGUGUAUUUAAAUUUAUUAAGAUCAUCAUUCGUAUCAUUCAGAUAUUCCCAUUUUAUAUUAAAAUUAUGAUGGAAUAAUCAAGUACCUACACCCUAUAUGAUUAAGUAGAAUUUAAUUAUAAAACGUUUUAGACUAAAGAUCUCUAUUUAUUUAUAAAUCAACCGUUAGUAUUCCAGGUUGUAGCUUUUCGUACACGAUUCGAAUUUUCAAUUGGUUAUUUCCUUCUCACGAUUCUUUCAUCUUUCGUUGCCAAGAUUUCGCCAUGAUUCGCGCGCGAAACGAGUAAAAGAACCGAUAUGUAAAAUCGAUAUAACGGGAACAGAGUUUCGCAAAGUAUAAAUCGUGAAAAUUUUGAAAGACAACCUUGUUGAUUUUGGCGUCGAUUUAAUUUAGUUAGUUUAUCAUAAGUUAAACAUUUUUGCAUUAUAAACGUCUGAUCAAUGCGAACGAAGAUCGAACUAUUCCAGAGAAGAGCGAUUGUCUCGAGAUAUUAUUGUUCAAUUUUUUCUUUUUCUUUUUCUUUUCUUUUUUUUUUUCAUAUUUUACGUAAACGGGAGUAUACGUCAUUGAACAUUCACCAUUGAUCUUGGUGGCCUCUUUUUCUUGGAAUUAUCGUGGUCGAAUUAUUUUUUUCAGUUAUAAUUUUUUUUUCAGUUAUAAAUGAUACAUUACGAUCGAUUCCAGAUUGGAUGAUUAAUAUAUGUCAGUUCGAAGUUGAUGUAAACUUUCGUACAUACAUGAAACGUACACAGUAACCGUCACUUGUUGAACCAAUCAUCGAUAAGUUUAAUAACGAUCAAAGACCUUAUGCCUUUUUUUUUAUUUUUCGUUCGUCGAAAGGUUUCAAUCUACUCGGGGAAUUUAUGUUCCCCGAUCAAUAUUAAAUGCCAUGCACAUUUCUAACUAUUGCAUAUUCACGAGAAAAAUAAAAAAGAUAAUAAAAUAGUGUAAUGUAGUUCGUAGUUACGAGUACCUGAGUACGGGUAUCAUCAAUCAAUUUAUUGAUAAAUGCUCGAUCGAUGAAAGAGUAUCCUCUACAUAUAUAGGACACGUUUAGAUCUUUUUAUUAUCUAACUUUGCCAUUUGUAACUGUAUAAGAAACUCUGAUCUUUGGUAUAUUAUCAGUGUUAUUUUUACCACCAUUAUUGGUUUUUAA
RNAcentral lists this long non-coding RNA (1600 nucleotides) under Apis dorsata (giant honeybee). Its description in RNAcentral is "uncharacterized LOC116185201". Lineage: Eukaryota; Metazoa; Arthropoda; Insecta; Hymenoptera; Apidae. The record is from RNAcentral.